RNAcentral lists this ribosomal RNA (536 nucleotides) under Salmonella enterica. RNAcentral's name for it is "partial 23S ribosomal RNA". It matches the Rfam family "Bacterial large subunit ribosomal RNA", at positions 1222 to 1757 of the family's 2925-position model. Lineage: Bacteria; Pseudomonadati; Pseudomonadota; Gammaproteobacteria; Enterobacterales; Enterobacteriaceae. RNAcentral also lists the same sequence under 1 other name. The record is from RNAcentral.
UGUUGGGUAGGGGAGCGUUCUGUAAGCCUGUGAAGGUGGCCUGUGAGGGUUGCUGGAGGUAUCAGAAGUGCGAAUGCUGACAUAAGUAACGAUAAAGCGGGUGAAAAGCCCGCUCGCCGGAAGACCAAGGGUUCCUGUCCAACGUUAAUCGGGGCAGGGUGAGUCGACCCCUAAGGCGAGGCCGAAAGGCGUAGUCGAUGGGAAACGGGUUAAUAUUCCCGUACUUGGUGUUACUGCGAAGGGGGGACGGAGAAGGCUAUGUUGGCCGGGCGACGGUUGUCCCGGUUUAAGCGUGUAGGUGUGUGUUCCAGGUAAAUCCGGUUCACUUUAACACUGAGGCGUGAUGACGAGGCACUACGGUGCUGAAGCAACAAAUGCCCUGCUUCCAGGAAAAGCCUCUAAGCAUCAGGUAACAUCAAAUCGUACCCCAAACCGACACAGGUGGUCAGGUAGAGAAUACCAAGGCGCUUGAGAGAACUCGGGUGAAGGAACUAGGCAAAAUGGUGCCGUAACUUCGGGAGAAGGCACGCUGACAC